Molecule: long non-coding RNA, 695 nt
Organism: Cajanus cajan (pigeon pea)
Lineage: Eukaryota; Viridiplantae; Streptophyta; Magnoliopsida; Fabales; Fabaceae
Source: RefSeq, a predicted model, not a curated record
GCGAGAAGGAAGGAGGUGCACAAUUGUAGCAUUUUGAGGAAGAAAAAUAAAUGAGAGAGAAGUGUAGAUGGAAGGAAAGGAGGAAACACUUUAGUAGAAUUUCCGCUGUAUAAUAAUAAAGUGCUUAUUACCAACGUGAUUCUGCAGUUCCACCGGUGGUUGAAACAAUGGUGCUGUGCUUUCCCUCAACACCUAAGAAACUGGCCAUGACCAUAGCAUGCUUCCUCUCUGGUGCUGCCAUUCUUGCUGUUGGGGCGCACCUUUCUUAUGUCAAUGUUGCACCCCAACAGGCUCGAACCAAAGCUCGCAAUGAUUUUGUCAUGGAGACGUUGAAAAAGAAGUAUGGUUACACUUCCCCUUAUGAGAACUUGGCUCGCAACGAUCCUUAUGAUAAGAGAUCACAGAUAUCUUCCACUAGAGACAAAGCUGAUUAUGCUCGGGCUCGCAGUGAUUUGGUCAAAGAGACAUUUAGUAACCUUGGAUUUAAAAAGUAGAAGAGAGGUUCUGAAAGCUUUGGUUUUCAUUCUUGCUCAUUUGAACCCCUUUCUCAUUCUGUUUCUUAAAUCAAUGAAGAAUAAAUGCUUAUUGCUAAUGCUAGCAAGGGGCACAUCUUCCAUGUUUAUAGCAGUAACUACAUGAGUUUCUGCGAUGUUUAUAGCUUCACUCUGGUAUGAAAUUUCUCAUUUUUUGGUCCA